RNAcentral lists this ribosomal RNA (473 nucleotides) under uncultured bacterium. RNAcentral's name for it is "bacterial SSU rRNA". It matches the Rfam family "Bacterial small subunit ribosomal RNA", at positions 328 to 793 of the family's 1533-position model. The record is from RNAcentral.
GUAGAGCACUCCUACGGGAGGCAGCAGUGGGGAAUAUUGCUACAAUGGGCGCAAGCCUGAUGCAGCCAUGCCGCGUGUAUGAAGAAGGCCUUCGGGUUGUAAAGUACUUUCAGCAGUGAGGAAGGUGGAUAUGUUAAUAGCAUAUUCAUUUGACGUUAGCUGCAGAAGAAGCACCGGCUAACUCCGUGCCAGCAGCCGCGGUAAUACGGAGGGUGCGAGCGUUAAUCGGAAUUACUGGGCGUAAAGCGCAUGCAGGUGGUUUGUUAAGUCAGAUGUGAAAGCCCGGGGCUCAACCUCGGAAUUGCAUUUGAAACUGGCAAACUAGAGUACUGUAGAGGGGGUAGAAUUUCAGGUGUAGCGGUGAAAUGCGUAGAGAUCUGAAGGAAUACCGGUGGCGAAGGCGGCCCCCUGGACAGAUACUGACACUCAGAUGCGAAAGCGUGGGGAGCAAACAGGAUUAGAUACCCUGGUAG